Molecule: ribosomal RNA, 208 nt
Filed under: uncultured bacterium
Lineage: Bacteria
Description: partial 16S ribosomal RNA
Rfam family: Bacterial small subunit ribosomal RNA
Source: RNAcentral
UCGGAUUGUAGUCUGNAACCCGACUACAUGAAGCUGGAAUCGCUAGUAAUCGCAGGUCAGCAUACUGCGGUGAAUACGUUCCCGGGUCUUGUACACACCGCCCGUCACACCAUGGGAGCCGGAAAUGCCCGAAGCCAGUGACCCAACCUUAGGGAGGGAGCUGUCGAAGGUGGAGCCGGUAACUGGGGUGAAGUCGUAACAAGGUACC